GACCAUCUCGCAAGGCUAAAUACUAACUAGUGACCGAUAGUGAACCAGUACCGUGAGGGAAAGGUGAAAAGAACCCCGGAAGGGGAGUGAAAGAGAACCUGAAACCGUGUGCCUACAAGUAGUCAAAGCACAUUAAAGUGUAAUGGCGUGCCUUUUGUAGAAUGAACCGGCGAGUUACGUUAAGUAGCGAGGUUAAGACAGAAAAGUCGGAGCCGAAGCGAAAGCGAGUCUGAAUAGGGCGAGCAGUUACUUGACGUAGACCCGAAACCAAGUGACCUACCCAUGUCCAGGUUGAAGGCUAGGUAAAACUGGCUGGAGGACCGAACCCACGUAAGUUAAAAAUUGCGGGGAUGAGG
This 356-nucleotide ribosomal RNA is filed under the name Vibrio cholerae. RNAcentral's name for it is "partial 23S ribosomal RNA". It matches the Rfam family "Bacterial large subunit ribosomal RNA", at positions 451 to 809 of the family's 2925-position model. The record is from RNAcentral. Lineage: Bacteria; Pseudomonadati; Pseudomonadota; Gammaproteobacteria; Vibrionales; Vibrionaceae.